RNAcentral lists this ribosomal RNA (467 nucleotides) under uncultured bacterium. Its description in RNAcentral is "bacterial SSU rRNA". It matches the Rfam family "Bacterial small subunit ribosomal RNA", at positions 329 to 793 of the family's 1533-position model. The record is from RNAcentral.
AUCCAGACUCCUACGGGAGGCAGCAGUGAGGAAUAUUGGUCAAUGGGCUUACGCCUGAACCAGCCAAGUCGCGUGAGGGAAGACUGCCCUAUGGGUUGUAAACCUCUUUUGUCAGGGAGCAAUUGGCGCUACGUGUAGCGUUAUCGAGAGUACCUGAAGAAAAAGCAUCGGCUAACUCCGUGCCAGCAGCCGCGGUAAUACGGAGGAUGCGAGCGUUAUCCGGAUUUAUUGGGUUUAAAGGGUGCGUAGGCGGGAUGCCAAGUCGGCGGUAAAAAUGCGGUGCUCAACGCCGUCGAGCCGUUGAAACUGGCGUUCUUGAGUGGGCGAGAAGUAUGCGGAAUGCGUGGUGUAGCGGUGAAAUGCAUAGAUAUCACGCAGAACUCCGAUUGCGAAGGCAGCGUACCGGCGCCCAACUGACGCUGAAGCACGAAGGCGUGGGUAUCGAACAGGAUUAGAUACCCUCGUAA